Armillaria nabsnona is the source of this 93-nucleotide non-coding RNA. The record is from the annotation of a GenBank genome assembly. NCBI's taxonomy places the organism in Eukaryota, Fungi, Basidiomycota, Agaricomycetes, Agaricales, Physalacriaceae.
UCCCUCUUCGCUCAGUUAGUAGAGCGCCUCACUAGUACGUAACUCCUUCGUCGCCUUAUGACGAGGUCAGUCGUUCCAGUCGGCUGGAGGGAA